UUAGAUCUGUAACUUUGCCAAUGUGUAUCUAUGCUAUAUCCAGGGUGGCCGUCAUAAGCAGGCCUGUGUAAUGCUAUAUAAAUAUAAUACCGUAACUGAUUAUGCCAAUUACGGAGAUUAGGCAAAAUACUGAAGUGUGUAUACAUGACCAGGGCACGGUUGUAUCGUGGAAGUGCUUACGCUCGCAAUUCUUGGGAGAACAAGGGAAAUACCCUAUUCAGAUACAAGAAUACUCAUUGCGUACUCGACAACGUCGCCCUCCUCCGCAUUCCCAAACGAAAUAAGAUAAUGUUUAUCGUGUGGUCUUGUUGGUGAUUGGUUGGAUAACAACCACGUAAACCGGACGCUGAGCAAUCCCUUUUGAAAAGUAAAUAAAACUACAGUAUAACCGAAAGGUCCACUGAUUAAUCUCAGAUAAGAAAUAUUAUACAUACAUUCCUGAUGAUGACAUAAUUAAUGUCGAAAUAUUGAAUCCCAACACGAUGGCGUGUAUUUCAAUACUUGGAGUAUGUAUUACACUUUCCUACAGUAUAACUUUAGCCGACUCUUUACACAGCCGAAUUUUCAAGAUUGCCAGCAGAGACGACACAGUCUACUGAUGAUUGUUCAGGAUCGACUGUUUCAUGCCAUAGGCCUCGUUGUAAUACUUGCGCACACAUCUACUUCACCAAUAUUCUUAAAGGACCAUCCGGCACUCAUGCUAUCAAGGACACUUUCUCAUGCACUUCCAUCAAUCUCAUAUACGCUAUUAUCUGUAUUAAAUGUAAUCUUCUAUACAUCGGCGAAACCAAAAGGAGAAUGGCAGAUCGUUUUACUGAACAUCGUAGAUCCAUCCGUCUCCGGCAAGCUGGUUUACCCAUUGCGUCGCAUUUUAGUCAUAAUCACAGUAAAGAAGAUAUCAAGAUCACUGGUGUUUCUCUCUGUCAAGGAUCCGACACUAUUAGAAAAAACUUGGAGCAAAAAUUGAUUUUUAAAUUAGGCAUUAUUGCUCCCUCCGGUCUUAAUGUAUCUUUCAAUGCUUUUAAGAUUUAAUUUCUAUCUUGUUUGGAUUUGGAUUUUGGACCAUGUGUUUGAUGUUGCUUUUAUUUGAUCAGCUCUUUUUAUUUUAUUUAUAUACUGUUUAUUUUUUUUCUUUUCGUUUUCAUUUUUAUAUUCAUAUAGGCCUAUAUAUUAUUUCUUCUUAUAUAUUAUAUAUAUGUAUGUGAUUUUUACCAUAGUAUAUUUUUCCCGCGUUUUUAUCUUGACUGCUGUCAAGCUUGUAGCUUGGCAUACGCCCUUAAGGCUAUUGUUCUUUUUUCUGUUAUAGCGUGGCUUCACGUCAUAUGUUGCUUUGUCUUACGUCCGUUAUAUUUGUAUAUAUUGUUUUUUCUUUUUUUAUGCUGUACACCUGAUGAAGGCCUAUGGCCGAAAACGUUUGUGAAUU
Molecule: long non-coding RNA, 1423 nt
Organism: Anneissia japonica
Lineage: Eukaryota; Metazoa; Echinodermata; Crinoidea; Comatulida; Comatulidae
Exons: 2
Source: RefSeq, a predicted model, not a curated record